Molecule: long non-coding RNA, 300 nt
Filed under: Elaeis guineensis (African oil palm)
Lineage: Eukaryota; Viridiplantae; Streptophyta; Magnoliopsida; Arecales; Arecaceae
Description: long non-coding RNA (EGUI_LNC031551)
Source: RNAcentral
GAGUUUUGAAAGUUGAAUCAGAUAUUAAAAGAUCGAAACAAGAAAGAAAAAUAGGAAGAGAUCUAGACCAACUGGGACUCGAAAUGACCAACAUGACAACUUAGAGAACCACUCUAAUAAGAAGAAAAGAACCAAACUUAUGAGUACUGUGGUAGAAAUCAUAGUAAGUCUUGCUAUAAGAAACUCGAAAAUGUGUUUUGAGUAAGGCAAGAAGGGAUAUUUGGCACCAGAUUGUCUUAAUAAAAAGAAUGACUCUAAGUCCGCCAAACUUACUAAUCAAAAUUAAAAAGAGAAUACACA